RNAcentral lists this ribosomal RNA (1333 nucleotides) under uncultured bacterium. Its description in RNAcentral is "bacterial SSU rRNA". It matches the Rfam family "Bacterial small subunit ribosomal RNA", at positions 28 to 1382 of the family's 1533-position model. The record is from RNAcentral.
GACGAACGCUGGCGGCGCGCCUAACACAUGCAAGUCGAACGAGAGAUGAGGAGCUUGCUCUUCAAAUCGAGUGGCGAACGGGUGAGUAACGCGUGAGGAACCUGCCUCAAAGAGGGGGACAACAGUUGGAAACGACUGCUAAUACCGCAUAAGCCCACGGCUCGGCAUCGAGCAGAGGGAAAAGGAGCAAUCCGCUUUGAGAUGGCCUCGCGUCCGAUUAGCUAGUUGGUGAGGUAACGGCCCACCAAGGCGACGAUCGGUAGCCGGACUGAGAGGUUGAACGGCCACAUUGGGACUGAGACACGGCCCAGACUCCUACGGGAGGCAGCAGUGGGGAAUAUUGCACAAUGGGGGAAACCCUGAUGCAGCGACGCCGCGUGGAGGAAGAAGGUCUUCGGAUUGUAAACUCCUGUUGUUGAGGAAGAUAAUGACGGUACUCAACAAGGAAGUGACGGCUAACUACGUGCCAGCAGCCGCGGUAAAACGUAGGUUACAAGCGUUGUCCGGAAUUACUGGGUGUAAAGGGAGCGCAGGCGGGAGAACAAGUUGGAAGUGAAAUCCAUGGGCUCAACCCAUGAACUGCUUUCAAAACUGUUUUUCUUGAGUAGUGCAGAGGUAGGCGGAAUUCCCGGUGUAGCGGUGGAAUGCGUAGAUAUCGGGAGGAACACCAGUGGCGAAGGCGGCCUACUGGGCACCAACUGACGCUGAGGCUCGAAAGUGUGGGUAGCAAACAGGAUUAGAUACCCUGGUAGUCCACACCGUAAACGAUGAUUACUAGGUGUUGGAGGAUUGACCCCUUCAGUGCCGCAGUUAACACAAUAAGUAAUCCACCUGGGGAGUACGACCGCAAGGUUGAAACUCAAAGGAAUUGACGGGGGCCCGCACAAGCAGUGGAGUAUGUGGUUUAAUUCGACGCAACGCGAAGAACCUUACCAAGUCUUGACAUCCCUUGACGAUGCUGGAAACAGUAUUUCUCUUCGGAGCAAGGAGACAGGUGGUGCAUGGUUGUCGUCAGCUCGUGUCGUGAGAUGUUGGGUUAAGUCCCGCAACGAGCGCAACCCUUAUGGUCAGUUACUACGCAAGAGGACUCUGGCCAGACUGCCGUUGACAAAACGGAGGAAGGUGGGGAUGACGUCAAAUCAUCAUGCCCUUUAUGACUUGGGCUACACACGUACUACAAUGGCGUUAAACAAAGAGAAGCAAGACCGCGAGGUGGAGCAAAACUCAGAAACAACGUCCCAGUUCGGACUGCAGGCUGCAACUCGCCUGCACGAAGUCGGAAUUGCUAGUAAUCGUGGAUCAGCAUGCCACGGUGAAUACGUUCCCGGGCCUU